GAUGAACGCUAGCUACAGGCUUAACACAUGCAAGUCGAGGGGAAACGACAUCGAAAGCUUGCUUUUGAUGGGCGUCGACCGGCGCACGGGUGAGUAACGCGUAUCCAACCUGCCCACCACUUGGGGAUAACCUUGCGAAAGUAAGACUAAUACCCAAUGAUAUCCCACGAAGACAUCUGAAUGGGAUUAAAGAUUUAUCGGUGAUGGAUGGGGAUGCGUCUGAUUAGCUUGUUGGCGGGGUAACGGCCCACCAAGGCAACGAUCAGUAGGGGUUCUGAGAGGAAGGUCCCCCACAAUGGAACUGAGACACGGUCCAAACUCCUACGGGAGGCAGCAGUGAGGAAGAUUGGGGAAUGGGCGAGAGCCUGAACCAGCCAAGUAGCGUGCAGGAAGACGGCCCUAUGGGUGGUAAACUGCUUUUAUAAGGGAAUAAAGUGGGUCACGUGUGACUUUUUGCAUGUACCUUAUGAAUAAGGACCGGCUAAUUCCGUG
RNAcentral lists this ribosomal RNA (492 nucleotides) under uncultured bacterium. RNAcentral's name for it is "partial 16S ribosomal RNA". It matches the Rfam family "Bacterial small subunit ribosomal RNA", at positions 28 to 507 of the family's 1533-position model. The record is from RNAcentral.